RNAcentral lists this ribosomal RNA (787 nucleotides) under Escherichia coli. Its description in RNAcentral is "partial 23S ribosomal RNA". It matches the Rfam family "Bacterial large subunit ribosomal RNA", at positions 2012 to 2798 of the family's 2925-position model. Lineage: Bacteria; Pseudomonadati; Pseudomonadota; Gammaproteobacteria; Enterobacterales; Enterobacteriaceae. The record is from RNAcentral.
CAGGCUGUCUCCACCCGAGACUCAGUGAAAUUGAACUCGCUGUGAAGAUGCAGUGUACCCGCGGCAAGACGGAAAGACCCCGUGAACCUUUACUAUAGCUUGACACUGAACAUUGAGCCUUGAUGUGUAGGAUAGGUGGGAGGCUUUGAAGUGUGGACGCCAGUCUGCAUGGAGCCGGCCUUGAAAUACCACCCUUUAAUGUUUGAUGUUCUAACGUUGGCCCCUGAUCGGGGUUGCGGACAGUGUCUGGUGGGUAGUUUGACUGGGGCGGUCUCCUCCUAAAGAGUAACGGAGGAGCACGAAGGUUGGCUAAUCCUGGUCGGACAUCAGGAGGUUAGUGCAAUGGCAUAAGCCAGCUUGACUGCGAGCGUGACGGCGCGAGCAGGUGCGAAAGCAGGUCAUAGUGAUCCGGUGGUUCUGAAUGGAAGGGCCAUCGCUCAACGGAUAAAAGGUACUCCGGGGAUAACAGGCUGAUACCGCCCAAGAGUUCAUAUCGACGGCGGUGUUUGGCACCUCGAUGUCGGCUCAUCACAUCCUGGGGCUGAAGUAGGUCCCAAGGGUAUGGCUGUUCGCCAUUUAAAGUGGUACGCGAGCUGGGUUUAGAACGUCGUGAGACAGUUCGGUCCCUAUCUGCCGUGGGCGCUGGAGAACUGAGGGGGGCUGCUCCUAGUACGAGAGGACCGGAGUGGACGCAUCACUGGUGUUCGGGUUGUCAUGCCAAUGGCACUGCCCGGUAGCUAAAUGCGGAAGAGAUAAGUGCUGAAAGCAUCUAAGCACGAAACUUGCC